AGUGAACGCUGGCGGUAGGCCUAUCACAUGCAAGUCGAACGGCAGCACAGUAAGAGCUUGCUCUUACGGGUGGCGAGUGGCGGACGGGUGAGGAAUACAUCGGAAUCUACUUUUUCGUGGGGGAUAACGUAGGGAAACUUACGCUAAUACCGCAUACGACCUACGGGUGAAAGCAGGGGAUCUUCGGACCUUGCGCGAUUGAAUGAGCCGAUGUCGGAUUAGCUAGUUGGCGGGGUAAAGGCCCACCAAGGCGACGAUCCGUAGCUGGUCUGAGAGGAUGAUCAGCCACACUGGAACUGAGACACGGUCCAGACUCCUACGGGAGGCAGCAGUGGGGAAUAUUGGACAAUGGGCGCAAGCCUGAUCCAGCCAUACUGCGUGGGUGAAGAAGGCCUUCGGGUUGUAAAGCCCUUUUGUUGGGAAAGAAAAGCAGCAGGUUAAUACCCCGCUGUUCUGACGGUACCCAAAGAAUAAGCACCGGCUAACUUCGUG
Molecule: ribosomal RNA, 492 nt
Filed under: uncultured bacterium
Lineage: Bacteria
Description: partial 16S ribosomal RNA
Rfam family: Bacterial small subunit ribosomal RNA
Source: RNAcentral